This 463-nucleotide ribosomal RNA is filed under the name uncultured Aminicenantes bacterium. RNAcentral describes it as "bacterial SSU rRNA". It matches the Rfam family "Bacterial small subunit ribosomal RNA", at positions 929 to 1382 of the family's 1533-position model. The record is from RNAcentral. Lineage: Bacteria; Candidatus Aminicenantota.
GCGGUGGAGCAGUUGUUGGUUUAACUCGAUGCAACGCGAAGAACCUUACCUGGCUUGAACUGCUGGUGGUAGAAGCCCGAAAGGGUAACGACCCGGAGCAAUCCGGGAGCCAGUAGAGGUGCUGCAUGGCUGUCGUCAGCUCGUGUCGUGAGAUGUUGGGUUAAGUCCCGCAACGAGCGCAACCCUUACCCUUAGUUGCCAGCGGGUAAUGCCGGGCACUCUAAGGGGACCGCCCCGGAUAACGGGGAGGAAGGCGGGGAUGACGUCAAGUCAGCAUGGCCUUUAUGUCCAGGGCUACACACGUGCUACAAUGGGCGAUACAGAGGGAAGCAAGGCCGCAAGGUAGAGCUAAUCCCUAAAGUCGUCCUCAGUUCGGAUUGCAGGCUGCAACUCGCCUGCAUGAAGUCGGAAUCGCUAGUAAUCGCGGAUCAGCUACGCCGCGGUGAAUACGUUCUCGGGCCUU